CCCUAUGGGGUGCAGCAGGCGGCUCUGGAAUGGAUGGGAUACGAAGUGGAAUAUCACGAUGUGUCGCUUGGGUUACCAAAGGGGAUAGAUCCCAAGGCAUUCCGGGGCGUGAUCCUGGACGAAACCAUGAGCAUCCCCUUCAAUUAUGAGCAGGAGUACCACGACUGGCUCCUUCAUUGGGUGGCGGAAGGGAAGAAGGUCUUGUUUGUGGGAGGGUUCGGAUUUGAGAACGAAUACUCCCGCAGGCGGUUGCUGCAGGUAUUGGGAGCUCAAGGUGAUCCGGCGCGUCAGUUGGUGCCUUCCGAGCCCAAGAUCGUGAAACUGGAUGCCGAGGUGAUGAAUUAUGAAGCGCCGGUGCGCCCCUUGUUUCACGGGUUUGAGGACUUGCGGGCUCCGGCGGGAUCCAAGGUGUUCCUGGGGUUGGAAUUGGCGGGGGAGC
This 439-nucleotide ribosomal RNA is filed under the name uncultured prokaryote. RNAcentral describes it as "partial 16S ribosomal RNA". The record is from RNAcentral.